ACCGGGUAAGUUCUACACAACCAGCUCCUGCCAAAUCCCCCAGGGUGGGAACGCAGCAAGGGUAGGCGGUUGUAGCGGUGUGAUGUAGGUCGCUUACCCU
This 100-nucleotide signal recognition particle RNA is filed under the name marine eukaryotic metagenome. RNAcentral describes it as "Bacteroidales small SRP". It matches the Rfam family "Bacteroidales small SRP", at positions 8 to 103 of the family's 107-position model. From Rfam's summary of the family: The non-coding component of the signal recognition particle in Bacteroides The record is from RNAcentral.